GGUUAAGCGACUAAGCGUACACGGUGGAUGCCCUGGCAGUCAGAGGCGAUGAAGGACGUGCUAAUCUGCGAUAAGCGUCGGUAAGGUGAUAUGAACCGUUAUAACCGGCGAUUUCCGAAUGGGGAAACCCAGUGUGAUUCGUCACACUAUCAUUAACUGAAUCCAUAGGUUAAUGAGGCGAACCGGGGGAACUGAAACAUCUAAGUACCCCGAGGAAAAGAAAUCAACCGAGAUUCCCCCAGUAGCGGCGAGCGAACGGGGAGCAGCCCAGAGCCUGAAUCAGUGUGUGUGUUAGUGGAAGCGUCUGGAAAGGCGCGCGAUACAGGGUGACAGCCCCGUACACAAAAAUGCACAUACUGUGAGCUCGAUGAGUAGGGCGGGACACGUGGUAUCCUGUCUGAAUAUGGGGGGACCAUCCUCCAAGGCUAAAUACUCCUGACUGACCGAUAGUGAACCAGUACCGUGAGGGAAAGGCGAAAAGAACCCCGGCGAGGGGAGUGAAAAAGAACCUGAAACCGUGUACGUACAAGCAGUGGGAGCCUCUUUAUGGGGUGACUGCGUACCUUUUGUAUAAUGGGUCAGCGACUUAUAUUCUGUAGCAAGGUUAACCGAAUAGGGGAGCCGAAGGGAAACCGAGUCUUAACUGGGCGUUAAGUUGCAGGGUAUAGACCCGAAACCCGGUGAUCUAGCCAUGGGCAGGUUGAAGGUUGGGUAACACUAACUGGAGGACCGAACCGACUAAUGUUGAAAAAUUAGCGGAUGACUUGUGGCUGGGGGUGAAAGGCCAAUCAAACCGGGAGAUAGCUGGUUCUCCCCGAAAGCUAUUUAGGUAGCGCCUCGUGAAUUCAUCUCCGGGGGUAGAGCACUGUUUCGGCAAGGGGGUCAUCCCGACUUACCAACCCGAUGCAAACUGCGAAUACCGGAGAAUGUUAUCACGGGAGACACACGGCGGGUGCUAACGUCCGUCGUGAAGAGGGAAACAACCCAGACCGCCAGCUAAGGUCCCAAAGUCAUGGUUAAGUGGGAAACGAUGUGGGAAGGCCCAGACAGCCAGGAUGUUGGCUUAGAAGCAGCCAUCAUUUAAAGAAAGCGUAAUAGCUCACUGGUCGAGUCGGCCUGCGCGGAAGAUGUAACGGGGCUAAACCAUGCACCGAAGCUGCGGCAGCGACGCUUAUGCGUUGUUGGGUAGGGGAGCGUUCUGUAAGCCUGUGAAGGUGUACUGUGAGGUAUGCUGGAGGUAUCAGAAGUGCGAAUGCUGACAUAAGUAACGAUAAAGCGGGUGAAAAGCCCGCUCGCCGGAAGACCAAGGGUUCCUGUCCAACGUUAAUCGGGGCAGGGUGAGUCGACCCCUAAGGCGAGGCCGAAAGGCGUAGUCGAUGGGAAACAGGUUAAUAUUCCUGUACUUGGUGUUACUGCGAAGGGGGGACGGAGAAGGCUAUGUUGGCCGGGCGACGGUUGUCCCGGUUUAAGCGUGUAGGCUGGUUUUCCAGGCAAAUCCGGAAAAUCAAGGCUGAGGCGUGAUGACGAGGCACUACGGUGCUGAAGCAACAAAUGCCCUGCUUCCAGGAAAA
This 1571-nucleotide ribosomal RNA is filed under the name Escherichia coli. RNAcentral describes it as "partial 23S ribosomal RNA". It matches the Rfam family "Bacterial large subunit ribosomal RNA", at positions 1 to 1616 of the family's 2925-position model. The record is from RNAcentral. Lineage: Bacteria; Pseudomonadati; Pseudomonadota; Gammaproteobacteria; Enterobacterales; Enterobacteriaceae.